This 460-nucleotide ribosomal RNA is filed under the name uncultured bacterium. Its description in RNAcentral is "partial 16S ribosomal RNA". It matches the Rfam family "Bacterial small subunit ribosomal RNA", at positions 338 to 795 of the family's 1533-position model. The record is from RNAcentral.
CCUACGGGAGGCAGCAGUGAGGAAUAUUGGUCAAUGGGCGCGAGCCUGAACCAGCCAAGUAGCGUGACGGAUGACUGCCCUACGGGUUGUAAACUUCUUUUAUAAAGGAAUAAAGUGAGGCACGUGUGCCUUUUUGUAUGUACUUUAUGAAUAAGGAUCGGCUAACUCCGUGCCAGCAGCCGCGGUAAUACGGAGGAUCCAAGCGUUAUCCGGAUUUAUUGGGUUUAAAGGGUGCGUAGGCGGAUUGAUAAGUUAGUGGUGAAAGGGUCGGGCUUAACUGGGAAACUGCAAUUAAUACUGUUGAUCUAGAGAGUAGAUGCGGUAGGCGGAAUGUAUGGUGUAGCGGUGAAAUGCUUAGAGAUCAUACAGAACACCGAUUGCGAAGGCAGCUUACCAAUCUAUAUCUGACAUUGAGGCACGAAAGCGUGGGGAGCAAACAGGAUUAGAUACCCUGGUAGUC